RNAcentral lists this RNase P RNA (311 nucleotides) under Sulfurospirillum arcachonense. RNAcentral's name for it is "partial RNase P RNA component class A". It matches the Rfam family "Bacterial RNase P class A". Rfam says of the family: Ribonuclease P (RNase P) is a ubiquitous endoribonuclease, found in archaea, bacteria and eukarya as well as chloroplasts and mitochondria. Its best characterised activity is the generation of mature 5'-ends of tRNAs by cleaving the 5'-leader elements of precursor-tRNAs. Cellular RNase Ps are ribonucleoproteins. The record is from RNAcentral. Lineage: Bacteria; Pseudomonadati; Campylobacterota; Epsilonproteobacteria; Campylobacterales; Sulfurospirillaceae.
AAGGUACGUCAGGUGAUUGCUUGAAUAAAGUGUUCAAGAGGAAAGUCUGGGCUGCAAUGAGGCAUGGUUCCGUCUAACGGACGGCUGGGGUAACCCAAGGGAAAGUGCAACAGAGAAUAGACUACCCUUUACAUGUAAAGGGAAAAGGUGAAACGGCGGGGUAAGAGCCCACCAGAGUUUUGAGUAAUCAUAACUGCUUUGUAAACCCAACCUGCAGCAAGAAUGGAUUGGUCAGCCUCAUAAUAUUACCAUUCGCUAGAGUGUUAUCGUAAGAUAACAAGUAGAUAAAUAGUCACCCAACGACAUGACCC